GAUGAACGCUGACAGAAUGCUUAACACAUCAGCAAUUGAUUGGUGGCGGACGGGUGAGUAACGCGUAAAGAACUUACCUCACAGUUAGGGACAACAUUUGGAAACGAAUGCUAAUACCUAAUACUGUGAGAGAGCUUUGCGUCCCAUGAGCUAGUUGGCGGGGUAACGGCUCACCAAGGCGAGGAUGGGUAGCCGGCCUGAGAGGGUGAUCGGCCAAAAGGGGACCGAGAAACGGCCCUUACGGCUACGGGAGGCAGCAGUGCGGAAUAUUGGACAAUAGACCAAAGUCUGAAGCAGGAAUUCGGUGUGCACGAUGAAGUUUUCGGAAGGUAAAGGGCGUGCAGUUGGAAAGCGGUACCAACAGAAGAAGUGACGGCUAAAUACGUGCCAGCCGCCGCGGUAAUAC
This 406-nucleotide ribosomal RNA is filed under the name uncultured bacterium. RNAcentral describes it as "partial 16S ribosomal RNA". It matches the Rfam family "Bacterial small subunit ribosomal RNA", at positions 28 to 526 of the family's 1533-position model. The record is from RNAcentral.